AUUGAACGCUGGCGGAAUGCUUUACACAUGCAAGUCGAACGGCAGCACGGGGCAACCUGGUGGCGAGUGGCGAACGGGUGAGUAAUACAUCGGAACGUGCCCAAUCGUGGGGGAUAACGUAGCGAAAGUUACGCUAAUACCGCAUACGAUCUACGGAUGAAAGCGGGGGAUCGCAAGACCUCGCGCGAGUGGAGCGGCCGAUGUCAGAUUAGGUAGUUGGUGGGGUAAAGGCUCACCAAGCCAACGAUCUGUAGCUGGUCUGAGAGGACGACCAGCCACACUGGAACUGAGACACGGUCCAGACUCCUACGGGAGGCAGCAGUGGGGAAUUUUGGACAAUGGGCGCAAGCCUGAUCCAGCCAUUCCGCGUGCAGGAUGAAGGCCUUCGGUUGUAACUGCUUUGUUACGGAACGAAACGGACGAGCUCUAAUACAGUUUGCUAAUGACGGUACCGUAAGAAUAAGACACCGGCUAACUACGUGCCAGCAGCCGCGGU
This 496-nucleotide ribosomal RNA is filed under the name uncultured bacterium. RNAcentral's name for it is "bacterial SSU rRNA". It matches the Rfam family "Bacterial small subunit ribosomal RNA", at positions 30 to 521 of the family's 1533-position model. The record is from RNAcentral.